This 552-nucleotide small RNA is filed under the name Pan troglodytes (chimpanzee). RNAcentral describes it as "retained intron". The record is from RNAcentral. Lineage: Eukaryota; Metazoa; Chordata; Mammalia; Primates; Hominidae.
AUUUUGAAAGUGACCCUGGGCUGGGGCGCCGGGGCGAGCGCGGCGGCGCGGAACCAUGACAGAAGAUGACCGAGGCGGCGCUGGUGGAGGGCCAGGUCAAGCUGCGGGACGGCAAGAAGACUGCCUGCUGAUGCUGGUCUACAAGGACAAGUCGGAGCGUACCAAGGGCCUGCGGGAGCGCAGCAGCCUGACGCUAGAGGACAUCUGCGGGCUGGAGCCCGGCCUGCCCUACGAGGGCCUGGCCCACACGCUGGCCAUUGUCUGCCUGUCCCAGGCCAUCAUGCUGGGCUUUGACAGCCACGAGGCCAUGUGUGCGUGGGAUGCCCGGAUCCGCUAUGCGCUUGGCGAGGUGCAUAGGUUCCAUGUGACAGUGGCUCCAGGCACCAAGUUGGAGAGCGGCCCGGCUACCCUGCACCUCUGCAAUGAUGUCCUCGUCUUGGCCAGGGACAUCCCCCCGGCUGUCACGGGGCAGUGGAAGCUGUCCGACCUCCGUCGCUACGGGGCCGUGCCAAGCGGAUUCAUCUUUGAAGGCGGGACCAGGUGUGGGUACUG